This is a small nucleolar RNA of Esox lucius (northern pike), 82 nucleotides long. Ensembl annotates it as small nucleolar RNA SNORD35. The record is from Ensembl. Lineage: Eukaryota; Metazoa; Chordata; Actinopteri; Esociformes; Esocidae.
UGCAAAUGAUGUUUCUCACGAUGGUCUUCCAAGCCACCUAGGCUCUGACGACAGUGCCUAAUGGCAACACUGAUGCAGUGUA